GAUGAACGCUGGCGGCGUGCCUAAUACAUGCAAGUCGAGCGAAAAGACGAGGAGCUUGCUCCCCUGCCGUUAGCGGCGGACGGGCGAGUAACACGUGGAUCACCUACUUCUUUGACUGGGAUAAUUUCGGGAAACAGGAGCUACUACUAGAUAAUAUAUCGUACCGCAUGGUUCAGUAGUGAAAGACGGUUUUGCUGUCACUUAUAGCUGAUUCCGGGCCGCAUUAGCUAGUUGGUAAGGUAACGGCUUACCAAGGCAACGAUGCGUAGCCGACCUGAGAGGAUGAUCAGCCACACUGGAACUGAGACACGGUCCAGACUCCUACGGGAGGCAGCAGUGGGGAAUCUUGGACAAUGGGCGAAAGCCUGACGCAGCAACGCCGCGUGGGUGAAGAAGGUCUUCGGGUCGUAAAGCUCUGUUGUUAGGAAAGAACAAAAGUGUAAGAAACCAUGGACGUUUUGACGGUACCCAAACAGAAAGCCACGGCUAACUACGUG
This 497-nucleotide ribosomal RNA is filed under the name uncultured bacterium. RNAcentral's name for it is "partial 16S ribosomal RNA". It matches the Rfam family "Bacterial small subunit ribosomal RNA", at positions 28 to 507 of the family's 1533-position model. The record is from RNAcentral.